UGUAGCUUGACAUUGGGUCUUGGUACUACAUGUACAGGAUAGGUGGGAGGCUUUGAAACCAGGACGCCAGUUUUGGCGGAGCCAUCCUUGGGAUACCACCCUUGUAGUACUGGGACUCUAACCAUAGGCCAUGAAUCUGGUCUUGGGACACUGUCAGGUGGGCAGUUUGACUGGGGCGGUCGCCUCCCAAAAGGUAACGGAGGCGCUCAAAGGUUCUCUCAGUACGGUCGGAAAUCGUACGUAGAGUGUAAAGGCAAAAGAGGGCUUGAUUGCAAGACAUACAGGUCGAGCAAGGAUGAAAAUCGGACUUAGUGAUCCGGUGGUGCUGCGUGGA
This 334-nucleotide ribosomal RNA is filed under the name Clostridioides difficile. RNAcentral describes it as "bacterial LSU rRNA". It matches the Rfam family "Bacterial large subunit ribosomal RNA", at positions 2105 to 2437 of the family's 2925-position model. Lineage: Bacteria; Bacillati; Bacillota; Clostridia; Peptostreptococcales; Peptostreptococcaceae. The record is from RNAcentral.